CACAGACAACCAGGAUAUUGGCUUAGAAGCAGCCACUCAUUCAAAGAGUGCGUAAUAGCUCACUGGUCGAGUGAUCCUGCGCCGAAGAUUUCCGGGGCUAAAACUUACUACCGAAGCUACGGCAUCAGUAAUGAUGGGUAGGGGAGCUUCCCAUACGGGUUGAAGCAUGACCGUAAGGACAUGUGGACAGUAUGGGAGUGAGAAUGUUGGCAUGAGUAGCGAGAUGUGGGUGAGAAUCCCACAGGCCGUAAACCCAAGGUUUCCAGGGGAAGGUUCGUCCGCCCUGGGUUAGUCGGGACCUAAGCUGAGGCCGAAAGGCGUAGGUGAUGGACAACAGGUUGAUAUUCCUGUACUACCGAUAACUGUUUGAGAGAAGGGAUGACACAGUAGGAUAAGCUAAGCACACUGUUGGUUAUGUGUGCCCAAGCAUUGAGGCAGUCAAAGUAGGCAAAUCCGCUUUGAUAAUGCUGGGAUGUGAUGGGGAGCGAAAUUUAGUAGCGAAGUAGCUGAUUUCACACUGUCAAGAAAAGUCUCUAUCGAGGUUAAAGGUACCCGUACCGCAAACCGACACAGGUGGGUGAGGAGAGUAUCCUAAGGCCAGCGAGAGAACUGUUGUUAAGGAACUCGGCAAAAUGACCCCGUAACUUAGGGAUAAGGGGUGCCACCAUCCGGUGGCCGCAGAGAAUAGGCUCAAGCGACUGUUUACCAAAAACAUAGGUUUCUGCUAAGUCGCAAGACGAUGUAUAGGAGCUGACGCCUGCCCGGUGCUGGAAGGUUAAGGGGAUCUGUUAGAGCAAUCGAAGCAGUGAACUUAAGCCCCAGUAAACGGCGGCCGUAACUAUAACGGUCCUAAGGUAGCGAAAUUCCUUGUCGGGUAAGUUCCGACCCGCACGAAAGGCGUAACGAUUUGGGCACUGUCUCA
This 922-nucleotide ribosomal RNA is filed under the name Clostridioides difficile. RNAcentral's name for it is "bacterial LSU rRNA". It matches the Rfam family "Bacterial large subunit ribosomal RNA", at positions 1084 to 2023 of the family's 2925-position model. The record is from RNAcentral. Lineage: Bacteria; Bacillati; Bacillota; Clostridia; Peptostreptococcales; Peptostreptococcaceae.